RNAcentral lists this long non-coding RNA (7646 nucleotides) under Triticum aestivum (bread wheat). Its description in RNAcentral is "long non-coding RNA (TAES_LNC000126)". The record is from RNAcentral. Lineage: Eukaryota; Viridiplantae; Streptophyta; Magnoliopsida; Poales; Poaceae.
AUAAAUUCCCCUGAUCAUUUGUCAUGUUGGAACCAACAUCAUCUGACUCGCCAGUUAAUCCCUAGUAAAGUAUAAAGUGGUUCAAAAACAACAAAAAUGACCUUUUCAAAAUAAUCAAAUGUUUAUGUAUUUCCAUUUGAUUUGAAACUUUGUGAGCAUCAUCAUAUCACUGUGUGGCAUUUAUGUGCUAGGUUUCAUAUUUUACUAAAAUCAUUUAGUGCCUCAAAUAAAUAGAAAACAGUGUCUAAAAUAGAAAAGAGUAAAGGAAAAAGAGAAAAAAGAAUAAGAACUAAAGUCUCCUAUGCACUUUGGCCCACCGUUAAUAGUACAUGGCCCAGCCCAACUGGGUCUUCCCUGACCUUUCGCUACAGUAGGAGGAGGCGGGAAGCCGUGGCGGCCAUCCCACGGCCAUGGCCACGUGCCGGCCAUCCCCUACCUCCCCGGCGCCUACAAAACGCAAACGCAAACCCUAGGCCGCUUUCGUCCAUUCCCCCCGUCUUUUCCCCAUCACCUCCCUCCUCAUCCGCUUGAAAUCGAGAUCGGGCUCGAUGCGGUGACCGCCCUCGUCGUCGUCAUUGCCGCGGCCACCGUCGUCUCCGUCACAUGGGAAGGUGUCCAAGAGCAUCGCCACGGUCGACUUCGUACGUCCCGGGGACCGAAUCAAGCCGAGGCACCGCGUAGACGACGCCUUCACCAUCUUCUCCGCGCUCGGCCGCCACCACAUCGCCAUCGAUUCAGCGGCUUCCAGCCAUCCCCGAGCUCGCCGUCCGCUCUGUUCCAAUCACCGUGAGCUCCUCCCUUGGGUCCCCUUUCCCCCUUCAAUUUAUAAGCCGUAGGCCGCCGUCACUGUCAUGCCUGAACCCGACAUACGCGUACGUGCGUGCGAUUGCUGCUGCCUGUUCUGUUGCCGCUGUUACCGCUACACUCCCGCUACUAACUACUGCCUCUAGCUGUCGCUGCUGCCUCCGCUAGCAGCCGCCGCCGCUGCUUGCCUGCCUGAAACUGCUGCUGCCGCUGCUACAUCCUCCUAUGGCUGCUGCUCUCGCGCUGAUGCCACGCUCCGAUGGAAUCUUGAACGCCAGGCGCACGCCCGCGACCACACGCCCACGCGCCGGUCGCCCCUGCUCCGCUCCGCCCUGACCUCGGCACAACCACCGCCACCGCCGCGGCCUCCGGCGCUCCCCCCACCCGCGCGCGCCCAUCGGAGCUCUACUCCCGCGUCUGCUCACUGCUUUGGCCGGCCCUGCGUGAGCUGGGCAUUGGCCACCGGCGCUCUCUGUGAGCGGUUGCGCGUGCGUGUCCCAGCCACGGCCUUGAGCCACGGCAUGAAGGGGCCAGCCCUGUUCUUUUGGGAUUAGCCUUGUUGUUUUAAUCAUAGUGUAGUAGAUGCCCUAUGACUAGUCGCCCCCCUGUUUAGUUGUUUUUUUACUAGUUUAGUUAAUUUCAAUUAGCACUUGUGUCUAUUACAUGUGGGACCGUUGACCCUGUUGACUAGUCAAAGCAAUCUGGUCAAAUGCUGCUGACUGGACCCCUGGACCCUACUGUCAUACUAAUGAAUAGCCUACUACUAUGUAUAAAAAGUAAACAGGGGCAUUUUUUAAAUCAAAUGCAUAAUCCAAUAAACUUUGGAAAUUAAUUGAAAUUAAACCGUAGCUCGGAUUAAAAUACUUUGUACAUGAAAGUUGCUCAGAACGACGAGACGAAUCCGAAUACACAGCCCGUUCGUCCGCCACACAUCCCUAGCAUAGCAAACACACAACUUUUCACCUCCGGUUCAUCUGUCCGGAAACUCGAAACACUGGGGAUACUUUCCCGGAUGCCCCCCCCCUUCGCCGGCAUCGCCUAGUACCACGUUAGGGCAUACCUAGCACCGCGUAUUGCCUCGUUAUGUUUUAUGUUUUGUGAUGCUUUGUUUCCUCCGUAUUUACUGUUUCUUCCCCCCUCUUCUUCUCCGAUAGACCCCGAGGCUGUUGCUGAUGCCACUGAGUUUGACUACGUUGUUGACGACCCUUCCUUGCCAGAGCAACCAGGCAAGCCCCCCCCCUUGAUCACCAGAUAUCGCCUAUUCCUUCUCUCUACUGCUUGCAUUAGGGUAGUGUAGCAUGUUACUGCUUUCGAUUAAUCCUAUUCUGCUGCAUAGCCUGUCAUUGUUGCUAUAAUUGUUGAUACCUUUACCUGCUAUGCUAAUGCUUAGAAUAGGAUGCUAGUGUUCCAUCAGUGGCCCUAUACUCUUGUCCGUCUGCCAUGCUAUACUAUCGGGCCGUGAUCACUAGGGAGGUGGUCAUGGGUAUAUACUAUAUACUUUAUAAACAUGACACAUCUGGUGACUAAAGUCGGGUCAGCUCGUUGAGUACCCGCAAGUGAUUCGGAUGAGGGGGCUGAAAGGACAGGUGGCUCCAUCCCGGUAGAGGUGGGCCUGGGUUCCUGACGGCCCCCAACUGUUACUUUAUGGCAGAGCGACAGGGCAGGUUGAGACCACGUAGGAGAGAGGUGGGCCUGGCCCUGGUCGGCGUCCGCGGAUACUUAAAAAUAACACGCUUAAUGAGUUCUUGGUAUUUGAUCUGAGUCUGGCCAUUUGGUCUAUACGCACUAACCAACUACGCGGGAACAGUUAUGGGCACUCGACGUCGUGGUAUAAGCCGAAGCCUUCGUGACGUCAGCGACUGAGCGGCGCGUGCCGCAUUGGACCGUAAGCUCGCGCUUGUAUUAAGGGGGCUAGGUCUGCUUCCGGCCGCGUACGCAACGUGCAGGUGUGCAAUGGGCGAUGGGCCCAGACCCCUGCGCCAUAGGAUUUAGACCGGCGUGCUGACCUCUCUGUUGUGCCUAGGUAGGGCUGCGACGUGUUGAUCUUCCGAGGCCGGGCAUGACCCAGGAAAGUGUGUCCGGCCAAAGGGGAUCGAGCAUGUUGGGUUAUGUGCUGCACCCCUGCAGGUAAGUUUAUCUAUUCGAAUAGCCGUGUCCCUCGGUAAAAGGACGACCCGGAGUUGUACCUUGACCUUACGACAACUAGAACCAGAUACUUAAUAAAACACACCCUUCCAAGUGCCAGAUAUAACCCGGUGAUCGCUCUCUAACAGGGCGACGAGGAGGGGAUCGCCGGGUAGGUUUAUGCUAUGCGAUGCUACUUGGUGAACUUAGCAUCUACUCUCUUCUACAUGCUGCAAGAUGGAGGUGGCCUGAAGCGUAGUCUUCGACAGGAUUAGCUAUCCCCCUCUUAUUCUGGCAAUCUACAGUUCAGUCCACCGAUAUGGCCCUUUACACAUAUACCCAUGCAUAUGUAGUGUAGCUCCUUGCUUGCGAGUACUUUGGAUGAGUACUCACAGUUGCUUUUCUCCCUCUUUUCCCCCUUUCCCUUGUACCUGGUUGUCGCAACCAGAUGCCGGAGCCCAGGAGCCAGAUGCCACUAUCGGCGACGACUCCUACUACACUGGAGGUGCCUACUACUACGUGCAGGCCACUGACGACGACCAGGAGUAGUUUAGGAGGAUCCCAGGCAGGAGGCCUGCGCCUCUUUCGGUCUGUAUCCUAGUUUGUGCUAGCCUUCUUAAGGCAAACUUGUUUAACUUAUGUCUGUACUCAGAUAUUGUUGCUUCCGCUGACUCGUCUAUGAUCGAGCACUUGUAUUCGAGCCCUCGAGGCCCCUGGCUUGUAUUAUGAUGCUUGUAUGACUUAUUUAUGUUGUAGAGUUGUGUUGUGAUAUCUUCCCAUGAGUCCCUGAUGUUGAUCAUACACAUUUGCGUGCAUGAUUAGUGUACGAUUGAAUCGGGGGUGUCACAAGUUGGUAUCAGAGCCAACUGCCUGUAGGUAGCCCCCUUUCCAACUCCUUGGCCGAAGUUGAGUCUAGUCAAUGAAAAACUUUUACUAACUUGGCUGUGUGGCUUACGGGCCCACAUCGCCAUUGGGUGGUAUUAGGAUCUUUUACUCCUCGUCUAUACUCUGGGACUCUGAUCUCUCUUCCAUUCGGGUCAAACAUUUUACUAACUCUGACAUUAGGUUCUCGUACCCACUUCCUCCCGGAGAGCCCCGACAUUACCGAUGAUCGCUUGCUUCGCCAAAAGAUUCUGUGGAUACUCCUCGAUGUUUCCCGAGACCCUGUGCCCACUGCUUUGCAGUUCCUUACCACCGAUAAGUCCCCAUGGAUAACAUCCUUGCCGUUUGUACCUUCAUCCCUAGUUGUUCUUAUUAUUACAAGAUACCCGAAAGUAUUCUUCGACUUUCGAGAAUCCUUUUUCCAACCGCCUGGUAGUUCUUUUCCGCCUGAAUAACCCUACGAAAAAAUCCUCACACUUAUCGGGGAUUCGUUCAUCCCCAGUUGAUCUUAUGUCUCACAAAAUUCUUCGAAUGCAAUUUGAUCUCCCAAAGAUCCUCUAUAGCCUAGUGCUCCCAAAAGUCUUGUCUGCCUGCAUUAUGAUUAAAUCCAUAUGUCUAGAAAUAUUCAUUAACAUCCUUUGUCCUUGUCAUCCUGAGCCUAUUGAUUCUUUUUUGUUGCGAUUGCUCGCAAUCAUCAGUCAAACCCUGAAAUUUGACCUUCCUGCUCAUACGUCAUUCUAGACAUGAGUUGGAUCUCGGCCAAUCAUGUUGUAAUGAUUGUCCACCUAGUUCCCUUUAACUUGAACGUCGAAUUAUUCAGUUGUUUCCAUAAUCUGAUGCCUUUACAUUCUUUCCCUCUUCUGAUUGAGUACUGAUACUCACAUCAGAUCCAUUGAGGACCGCUAAAUCCUUUGUUGGAUUAUUAUCCAACAAUGUCCUUCAUAUUCAAAAUAUCAUGCGCUCUUCCCCUGAUACAUAUUGUCUUCGGUAAAUUGUAUCCUCUGCUUAUUGUCAACCAUGCUCUGCUAUUGAGCUGAUGUUAUAUGCUCUGGAAGUUAGUGGUAGGUGUUCCUAAGAUACCCCUACGGGUUGAACCUAUGACUUCCCUAAUCCGUGUGAACUCAAAAGAGAUGUGAGUCUUACUCUUCUGGUACUUCGCCAGAUAAAUCUUCUGCACUACAAUUUCUUCGAAAACGAGGAGUGAAUGAAAGGUUAUGCGUUGAAGAAGUGGGAGUCGACCUUGAACCUUUGUGUUCAUGCCCAUGGACCCGAUGUAGAACUUAUCGUGGAAGCUGCUCGUAAAUGAUUACUCCUUGUUAUAAGUUCAUCUUGUAUCGGUGGUUUGAUCAUUCAUAACCGUGGUUCCGACCAUAGUUUCUCCUUAAUUCCAUUUCCCGGACAAGUUAAAAUACGUGUCUCCUGCAAGUCAUUUCACCUGUCCAACUUCUAAUUUGAUCUACCUUCAAGUAUUGCCUCAUGUUAUCUCGAGGAUAUUGUGUCAUUGCACUACUUCUUGUAAAUUCUUAGUUGAAGUGAUACUCCUUCACAUCAUUCCUAGCCCUAUUGGCUACAUCAUUAUCAUCCUAAAUUUUAACUGUGCUACCUGGUCCUUCCUGGAGCACAAUUUUUCAACGAUGAGCUAAGCUUACGUCGCUCUUCCCCGUCUUAUCAUUUCGCUUUGAACAACAAGCUUGGUUUCGAGUUCGUGUCGUACCCGUGGUUCCAAUAACCUUUCGCUCAUCAUUCCUUUAACUUGAUGGCAUCGCCGAUCGAUUACAUCUUCAUGAAACCUCUCGACAAAUUUGUCAUGAUCAUCAGCAAUAUUCUGAGCUCUUCUAGCAUAUCAAUCAAAUUCGUGAUGAGAAAUACCAUCCUUGACAUUCGAUGAUUUGAGUUGUCAUUGACAACCCCCCUUGUCUUCUUUCCAACACAUGUUUGAUCAUGUCUUGGUUAUACCUUGGACUCCUUGCUAUUCCUGCAAUUAUUCCUUGAGUAUUUCUUGUGAUCUUCAACUCCAACCCCUACUUGUAAGACCAUGUUAAUGCUACCUCGAAGCAUGGCUGAGGUAUUCCGAAUACCAACAAGAACAUUGGAAGCACAUUGUCGAAUGUUUCUUGAUCUAUUAUCCAAACACCGUUGCAUGGAUAACAUCAUGAAUUCCCUUGCCCCUUUAUCCAAAUGGCGAUGUACUUGUUGAUCUAACAUGUAUAUCAUGCUCUACUUUUCCACGGGAAAAGUUACACUCCUAAAUCUUGUGUUUAAACACAUUUUCCUUUCCAUUGGUUUGCUUAACCUUUCUUGUGAUCUAUAUAUGUUAUAAGAAGAAAUAAUUCCCUGCUUAUGGAAACACCUCGGUUUACAACUCUGUCAGUGUGACCCUGUUACUAUUGCUGACAACAUCCUGGUAACCCCCGAUGGACGAGAACUUUGCCUAUUGGUCCGCCUCGUUCAACGAGCAGGAAAAUGGUUCUCUUCGUCCCACGCCCUUGGUACCGACGAUGUUGCCAACAUAACUGACAGGCUAUGCUCUGACAUGCCUUGCUAUCAUGACCGUGCAAGAUGUCAACACUCUUUCUACUUUCAACCCACAUGGUGGGCCCAUAACCCACAGAUCCCCAGGAUCGAAACCUGACUCUCCUAUACACCCUUGUUGCCAAAGUUAUUCCUCACUAGCUUCGUAUGUAAAUCACUCCCCACCUUCCUAGUGAUCUAUUCUGGUAUNNNNNNNNNNNNNNNNNNNNNNNNNNNNNNNNNNNNNNNNNNNNNNNNNNNNNNNNNNNNNNNNNNNNNNNNNNNNNNNNNNNNNNNNNNNNNNNNNNNNNNNNNNNNNNNNNNNNNNNNNNNNNNNNNNNNNNNNNNNNNNNNNNNNNNNNNNNNNNNNNNNNNNNNNNNNNNNNNNNNNNNNNNNNNNNNNNNNNNNNNNNNNNNNNNNNNNNNNNNNNNNNNNNNNNNNNNNNNNNNNNNNNNNNNNNNNNNNNNNNNNNNNNNNNNNNNNNNNNNNNNNNNNNNNNNNNNNNNNNNNNNNNNNNNNNNNNNNNNNNNNNNCAUCCGCUUGAAGCUUCUUAUUGCACCUUCUAGCCUUGCUCUCGACGACUUUCUUGAAUUUCAACUCGAGAGAUGCCUCUAUGCCACGUUCGCGAGAUAGCUCCCAGGUACCUAUCUUGUGUUGAGCCCCGUCCUUCCCGAGUCUUUCCCCUUACUCCACCUCUUGAAUCUCGGGACGAGAUUUCUUGUAGUGGAGGAGAUUUGUAACACCCCAAGAAUCAUGCUACAGUAAUCUCCCCUAAUGAUGGCCAUGUCAUCAUGAUUGCUAAGCAAAUUGCCACUUGUCCUUAUUCAAACUCAAAUUCAAAUUUUAAUUGCAAGUGAAAUUAUUAUUUCUUCACACAAUAAAAAUAAAAUGUUUGCAUUAUUCUAUAAAUUCCCCUAAUCAUUUGUCAUGUUGGAACCAACAUCAUCUGACUCGCCAGUUAAUCCCUAGUAAAGUAUAAAGUGGUUCAAAAACAACAAAAAUGACCUUUUCAAAAUAAUCAAAUAUUUAUGUAUUCCAUUUGAUUUGAAACUCUGUGAGCAUCAUCAUAUCACUGUGUGGCAUUUAUGUGCUAGGUUUCAUAUUUUACUAAAAUCAUUUAGUGCCUCAAAUAAAUAGAAAACAGUGUCUAAAAUAGAAAAGAGUAAAGGAAAAAGAGAAAAAAGAAUAACUAAAGUCUCCUGUGCACUUUGGCCCACCGUUAAUAGUACAUGGCCCAGCCCAACUGGGUCUUCCCUGACCUUUCGCUACAGUAGGAGGAGGGGGGAAGCCGUGGCUGCCAUCCCACGGCCAUGGCCACGUGCCG